UAAAUUGAGAGUUUGAUCCUGGCUCAGGAUGAACGCUGGCGGCGUGCCUAAUACAUGCAAGUCGAACGAAACUUC
Molecule: ribosomal RNA, 75 nt
Filed under: Ligilactobacillus murinus
Lineage: Bacteria; Bacillati; Bacillota; Bacilli; Lactobacillales; Lactobacillaceae
Description: Lactobacillus murinus partial 16S ribosomal RNA
Rfam family: Bacterial small subunit ribosomal RNA
Source: RNAcentral